Molecule: ribosomal RNA, 225 nt
Filed under: uncultured Roseomonas sp.
Lineage: Bacteria; Pseudomonadati; Pseudomonadota; Alphaproteobacteria; Acetobacterales; Roseomonadaceae
Description: partial 16S ribosomal RNA
Rfam family: Bacterial small subunit ribosomal RNA
Source: RNAcentral
CGCGUAGGCGGUUUACACAGUCAGGCGUGAAAUUCCUGGGCUUAACCUGGGGACUGCGCUUGAUACGGCGAGGCUUGAGGCCGAGAGAGGGUGGUGGAAUUCCCAGUGUAGAGGUGAAAUUCGUAGAUAUUGGGAAGAACACCGGUGGCGAAGGCGACCACCUGGCUCGGUACUGACGCUGAGGCGCGACAGCGUGGGGAGCAAACAGGAUUAGAUACCCCUGUA